Molecule: long non-coding RNA, 2008 nt
Organism: Gadus chalcogrammus (walleye pollock)
Lineage: Eukaryota; Metazoa; Chordata; Actinopteri; Gadiformes; Gadidae
Exons: 3
Source: RefSeq, a predicted model, not a curated record
CCUUUAAUAAGAGCUGUGGACUAUAUACGACGUGGUGAUUUAUUUUGGUGGUAUUGCUGUGAUCGUUGUCCUUUCAGUGUCUAUGUGGUGCAUACCUAUUUAUUUGUCGCUGUAGUGUAUGUUGUACUGCGCCCUGUCUUGAUGUUUGUACUGUCCUGUUGAUGUAUGUUGUUGCGUGUAGUGGCACAAUAAUUUCCCCCUUGGGGACUAUUAAAGUGCAAUCAAUCAAUCAGUUACACUUCCUGACUAUGUUAACCAACUUUUUUUGUUAACAAAGUUUAUGUCAGCUCCUCUGUAGUUUGUUUUGCAUUGACGGGUGAUUCAUUGAUAGCGCGUGUUUUCGUCCAAAUCCAAACAGAACUUUACACCCUGACCGCGACACUACCCUGUGUCCGCCGUGUACCUCUGGCUGGUCGUCGGGUAUGGGCUCCUCCUUGUUGUUGUGAAUGCUCUGGAAGCGCUGGAGGAGGGGCAGCAGUGGGGCGCUGGUGCCCUGCGUGGAGCGCUCGUUGUCCAUCUCCCGCGUGCCGUUGCCCCACAGACGCAGCAGCAGCAGCACCGCCGACAGCAGCUGGCUGGAGGACGGUGGGACCCAGAGGAAGAGAGUACUGUCUAUUGGACCACAGUGACAGCAGGACCGCUGGUCACACAUGAGUAUGACUACAACAGCGUGUUCCCCUGUCCUGAUUGGUUCGGAUAAGAGCCAUGCGAUGUCACUCGCCAUGUAUUAGUGUGAUAUCACAAAGUAUCUACGUAGCAUCGGGCAGCAAGAGGUCACAUCACCACGCGGGAUUGGACACUCGACUCCAGUUGUGAUGUCACAAAAGCGGACGAUUUUGAAACGGCUUAUAAUGGCUCACAUCCGAAAAAGAUCACCAUCUCAACAUGGCACCUGGUAGUGAAACAGGGGCCCUUUACGCAGCAGGGUAGAACGGAGCCCUACCUCAGGGUCCCCCUCUGCACAGCCAGCUCCAGGAGUAUAGCCAGAGCAAGGUGCUGGUCCUGCAGGGGAAUGUUGCCUUUGGCACUGGCACUUCCAUGGACAUCACUGGUUCCCCGCAAGACGGCAUCAGAACACAUGACACACAGGUUACACACAUAUCACCACAAAGUAUUUGGAAGUGCACUGAAGUACGCGGCGCUGCAUUGUAGCACGAUGUGGGUGAAGUACGGGGCAGUAUGCUGCAGUGUGGAGCCUCUCUCGGCACCUCACCUGAGGAACUUGGCGGCCCGUUCGACCACCUCCAGCCACACGGAGGAGACGGUGCCCUCGUCGAACAGUGUGGCCUCGGGCAGGGCCCGCAGCGCGUCCAGAGACUCCUGGAGCAGCUCGCUGCACAGGUCUGCAUCGUCCCCUACACCACCACAAUCAGGGGUUAAAGAAAGCCUGGACUGGGGUUUCAUAGAGGGGCACUUUGGUGCUUUAGAUCAGAAACAGUCUGUGUUCAUAUAGCACAAUUCGACCGGCAAGGCCCUUCAUAGCGACUCAAGGUCAUAGUGAUUAACAGUAAAUGCCUCACAUUCAAACACCAAAACACAUUCACAGACACUUUCCGCAUUCAUACACUGGCUCUCACACACGCAGGCAGUUUUUCAGCUGUUAAACAGCUGGGGGGGGGUUGAAUGACUGGUUCAAGGGCACUGCAGCCCUUUGUGCAAAGAGAAGCAUGGAUAUUCAACCGGCGACCUCCUUUGUUGGCCUAAGAAGAGCUCUAGCCCUGAUUAUAGAACAUAUCAUAAGUUCGAGCUCGGAGAUAAGCAAAGCUCCUAGGAACCGAACAACUGAAAACUGUCAAAAUACUUCAAUAUAUUUAAACAGUACUAUCUAAAUUAGGGGUGAAAAAAAUACUAAAUCUGGUUAUUUUUUACCUACUUUCAUGGUGUGUUGUAAUGCAAGCUGCAUUGAUUAUUGCAUUGUUCAUAGAAAGUCAUAUUUGUGACAAAAGCUUUUUCUCUAAUAAAAUAUUAGAUAAGGUAAUUCAUCUCUUGAUUUCUUUAAUGAUCAUCA